RNAcentral lists this ribosomal RNA (330 nucleotides) under bacterium ocnta338lb423onp9.24. RNAcentral describes it as "bacterial SSU rRNA". It matches the Rfam family "Bacterial small subunit ribosomal RNA", at positions 51 to 379 of the family's 1533-position model. The record is from RNAcentral.
ACACAUGCAGUCGAGCGGUAACAGGAAGUAGCUUGCUACUUUGCUGACGAGCGGCGGACGGGUGAGUAAUGCCUAGGGAACUGCCCAGUCGAGGGGGAUAACAGUUGGAAACGACUGCUAAUACCGCAUACGCCCUACGGGGAAAAGAGGGGAUCUUCGGACCUUCUGCGAUUGGAUGUACCUAGGUGGGAUUAGCUAGUAGGUGAGGUAAUGGCUCACCUAGGCGACGAUCCCUAGCUGUUCUGAGAGGAUGAUCAGCCACACUGGGACUGAGACACGGCCCAGACUCCUACGGGAGGCAGCAGUGGGGAAUAUUGCACAAUGGGCGCA